This 194-nucleotide antisense RNA is filed under the name Salmonella enterica subsp. arizonae serovar 62:z4,z23:-. RNAcentral's name for it is "Salmonella enterica subsp. arizonae serovar 62:z4,z23:-- Yersinia sRNA 251". It matches the Rfam family "Yersinia sRNA 251". Rfam says of the family: Antisense to phoH gene. RNAcentral also lists the same sequence under 1 other name. The record is from Rfam by way of RNAcentral. Lineage: Bacteria; Pseudomonadati; Pseudomonadota; Gammaproteobacteria; Enterobacterales; Enterobacteriaceae.
UGUAUGCGUGAAGCGUUCGCUGACAAAGCGCCGAGCGCACACAGUCGUCUUUGUUGAAUCGCACUAUCCCUACCAUCUCAUCUUCGUUAAAGCGAGCUAAGGCAUCGCUUAAACCUGACUGAACAUGUGCCGGCAAAUCGCACUGGGUGAUAUCACCAUUUACAAUAACCGUUACGUUUUCUCCCAAUCGCGUC